This 403-nucleotide ribosomal RNA is filed under the name uncultured bacterium. RNAcentral's name for it is "partial 16S ribosomal RNA". It matches the Rfam family "Bacterial small subunit ribosomal RNA", at positions 30 to 526 of the family's 1533-position model. The record is from RNAcentral.
AUUGAACGCUGGCGGCAGGCCUAACACAUGCAAGUCGAGCGAGAGGCGGACGGGUGAGUAAUGUAUCGGGGCUGUCCGUUAGAGGGGGAUAACUACAGGAAACGGUAGCUAAUACAGCAUACGAUAGGAUUAUCCAUAUGGGAUUAGCUAGUAGGUGGGGUAAUGGCUCACCUAGGCGACGAUCCCUAGCUGGUCUGAGAGGAUGAUCAGCCACACUGGAACUGAGACACGGCCCAGACUCCUACGGAGGCAGCAGUGGGGAAUAUUGCACAAUGGGCGCAAGCCUGAUGCAGCCAUGCCGCGUGUAUGAAGAAGGCCCUAGGGUUGUAAAGUACUUUCAGUCGGGAGGCGUUACCGACAGAAGAAGCACCGGCUAACUCCGUGCCAGCAGCCGCGGUAAUUC